GUUCUUUUGUUUUUAAUAUAAGAUCGGGCCUGCCCAUUGAUUAUAAAUAUUAAAAGGCUGCGGUAUUUUAACUGUACGAAGGUAGCAUAAUCAUUUGUCUUUUAAUUGGAGGCUAGAAUGAAUGGUUUGAUGAGAAAUAGCCUUUCUUUAUAUAAUUAAUUUGAAUUUAAUUUUUUAGUUAAAAAGCUAAAAUUUCUUUAUAGGACGAGAAGACCCUAUAGAGGUUUACUAAUUUUAUAAAUUAUAUCUUUUCGUUUAUCAAUUUGUUUUUUAGAAAAAUUAGUUUUGUUGGGGUGACAGUGAAAUUUUAUAAACUUUCAUUACUUUUUUUAUUAAUUUAUAUUUUUUUGAUCCGAAAUUUUCGAUUAUAAGAUUAACCUACCUUAGGGAUAACAGCGUAAUCUUUUUGGAGAGUUCAUAUCGAUGAAAAGGUUUGCGA
Molecule: ribosomal RNA, 439 nt
Filed under: Halobates sericeus
Lineage: Eukaryota; Metazoa; Arthropoda; Insecta; Hemiptera; Gerridae
Description: partial large subunit ribosomal RNA
Rfam family: Bacterial large subunit ribosomal RNA
Source: RNAcentral